CUUCUCCCCACGACUGCAGCCCCGAUUACAGCGAUCGCGACGGUGGAUCGGGGGAGGCCGCCCCACCGGCUGAGCUCCUAUCCACGCCAACAUCCUACCCCGCGAGAAGCCGGCCCUCUUCUCCCCCCAAUUGCAGCGACCGGCUACGGAAGAUUGGAGCAGGCCGCCCCACCGCAGCACCGCCGAACAUAGAUCUGCCGCAUCAACCCGCCCUGCGAGCACCCGACUCUCUUCUCCCCUGCGAUCGGCGACGUGUCUCUGUGAUUUCCUCAUCCCGCCACCCCUUGAUGUUCAAUGGUUCCACUAUAUCCUGCUUCACACUUACAGAAUGAAAACUGAUGGUGAGAAUAUCAGAUUACUAAAAUCAUGCCACCAGUUCUGGAGACUGAGAGGGCAAGCAGGGCAUAUCUUGCGGAACGGAAAAUAAAGGGUGAGGCGUAUUUGAAAGAAAGGGGAGGAAGGAAAGGAGAUGAAGAGGAGGCCGCUCUUCCUAUGUCGAAAGCAAUGGCACCUGAAGGUCUCGGAGCUCUUCUUCAUCAGUAGAAAUCCGAGUUCUAGAAGAAAGAAUUGAAUAGAAGGAUAGAGAGGCAAAAGAUGCAAAUGCUAGGCACAAGGACGAGUUACCCGUGAGACUUGAAGCACAAGACAUAGCAUUUGAAGAGAUGUAGAGGAAAGCAUCAAGAAGAAUUGGAAGUUGUGAAGAAGAGCCAACAAGAGAAGAAUGAAGCUUGGGAAAAGAAGCAACAUGAGACGGAUAACCUGAUUGGUAUUCUCUGAAGUGCUCAAGCAACUCAGCAAGCAAGUUAGCCCAAACUUGAUGGUGCAUGAAGGCCAUCCUUUUGUGAUAGAAAGAUAGUUGCUGAAUCAUACAUUGCAAUAAUUAGGACAACACAUGUGAUCUUUCAGUUAUGAAAAUAUUACUUUUAUCUUGUCUAUUGUCGUGUCAAACUUGAGUCAGUGUUAUUUUUAUUAUCACUUCUACUUGGUGGAUGAUUUGGCUGAGACGAUUGAAUGUAUAAUAUGAUUUGUCUUUCAUUUCAA
Long non-coding RNA from Aegilops tauschii subsp. strangulata, 1041 nucleotides. RefSeq lists it as uncharacterized. The record is from RefSeq and is a predicted model, not a curated record. Lineage: Eukaryota; Viridiplantae; Streptophyta; Magnoliopsida; Poales; Poaceae.